GAAUUUUGGACAAUGGGCGCAAGCCUGAUCCAGCCAUGCCGCGUGAGUGAAGAAGGCCUUCGGGUUGUAAAGCUCUUUCGGCGGGGACGAAACGGUCCGUGCCAACACCCCGGAUCAAUGACGGUACUCGCAGAAGAAGCACCGGCUAACUACGUGCCAGCAGCCGCGGUAAUACGUAGGGUGCGGGCGUUAAUCGGAAUUACUGGGCGUAAAGCGUGCGCAGGCGGCUCCUCAAGUCAGAUGUGAAAUCCCCGGGCUUAACCUGGGAACUGCGUUUGAAACUAGGGAGCUUGAGUGUGGAAGAGGGGGGUGGAAUUCCAGGUGUAGCAGUGAAAUGCGUAGAGAUCUGGAGGAACACCGAUGGCGAAGGCAGCCCCCUGGGCUAACACUGACGCUCAUGCACGAAAGCGUGGGGAGCAAACAGG
RNAcentral lists this ribosomal RNA (425 nucleotides) under uncultured bacterium. RNAcentral describes it as "bacterial SSU rRNA". It matches the Rfam family "Bacterial small subunit ribosomal RNA", at positions 359 to 776 of the family's 1533-position model. The record is from RNAcentral.